UGGUAUCAUAUCAUUGUGU
Molecule: non-coding RNA, 19 nt
Filed under: Arabidopsis thaliana (thale cress)
Lineage: Eukaryota; Viridiplantae; Streptophyta; Magnoliopsida; Brassicales; Brassicaceae
Source: RNAcentral